Molecule: ribosomal RNA, 497 nt
Filed under: uncultured bacterium
Lineage: Bacteria
Description: partial 16S ribosomal RNA
Rfam family: Bacterial small subunit ribosomal RNA
Source: RNAcentral
GAUGAACGCUGGCGGCGUGCCUAAUACAUGCAAGUCGAGCGCACAGACGAGGAGCUUGCUCCUCUUACGUUAGCUGCGGACGGGUGAGUAACACGUGGAUAACCUACCUAUAAGACUGGGAUAACUUCGGGAAACCGGAGCUAAUACCGGAUAAUAUAUUGAACCGCAUGGUUCAAUAUUGAAAGACGGUUUUGCUGUCCCUUAUAGAUGGAUCCGCGCCGCAUUAGCUAGUUGGUAAGGUAACGGCUUACCAAGGCAACGAUGCUUAGCCGACCUGAGAGGGUGAUCGGCAACACUGGAACGGAGACACGGUCCAGACUCCUACGGGAGGCAGAAGUAGGGAAUCUUCCGAAAUGGGCGAAAGCUUGACGGAGCAACGCCGCGGGAGUGAUGAAGGUCUUCGGAUCGUAAAACUCUGUGAUUAGGGAGGAACAAAGGUGUAAGUAACUAUGCACGUCUUGACGGUACCUAAUCAGAAAGCCACGGCUAACUACGUG